Molecule: ribosomal RNA, 380 nt
Filed under: uncultured eukaryote
Lineage: Eukaryota
Description: partial 18S ribosomal RNA
Rfam family: Eukaryotic small subunit ribosomal RNA
Source: RNAcentral
CAAUAGCGUAUAUUAAAGUUGUUGCGGUUAAAAAGCUCGUAGUUGGAUUUCUGCUGAGAACGACCGGUCCGCCCUUUGGGUGUGUAUCUGGCUCUUUCUUGGCAUCUUCUUGGUGAACGUUGCUGCACUUGACUGUGUGGAGCGCUACCCAGGACUUUUACUUUGAGGAAAUUAGAGUGUUUCAAGCAGGCAUACGCCUUGAAUACAUUAGCAUGGAAUAAUAAGAUAGGACCUCGGUUCUAUUUUGUUGGUUUCUAGAGCUGAGGUAAUGAUUAAUAGGGAUAGUUGGGGGCAUUCGUAUUUAACUGUCAGAGGUGAAAUUCUUGGAUUUGUUACAGACGGACUACUGCGAAAGCAUUUGCCAAGGAUGUUUUCAUUGA